Molecule: ribosomal RNA, 97 nt
Filed under: uncultured bacterium
Lineage: Bacteria
Description: partial 16S ribosomal RNA
Rfam family: Bacterial small subunit ribosomal RNA
Source: RNAcentral
CACACCGCCCGUCACACCAUGGGAGUUGAUUGCACCAGAAGUAGGUAGCCUAACCGCAAGGAGGGCGCUUACCACGGUGCGGUCAAUGACUGGGGUG